Molecule: transfer RNA, 66 nt
Filed under: Serica sp. NS-2020
Lineage: Eukaryota; Metazoa; Arthropoda; Insecta; Coleoptera; Scarabaeidae
Description: tRNA-Ala
Source: RNAcentral
AGGGUAGUAGUUAAUUAUAACAUUUAAUUUGCAUUUAAAAAAUAUUGAAAAUUUCAGUUUACCUUA